RNAcentral lists this ribosomal RNA (403 nucleotides) under Actinomycetes bacterium. Its description in RNAcentral is "Actinobacteria bacterium partial 16S ribosomal RNA". It matches the Rfam family "Bacterial small subunit ribosomal RNA", at positions 355 to 776 of the family's 1533-position model. Lineage: Bacteria; Bacillati; Actinomycetota; Actinomycetes. The record is from RNAcentral.
UGGGGAAUAUUGCACAAUGGGGGAAACCCUGAUGCAGCGACGCCGCGUGAACGAAGAAGGUAUUCGUAUCGUAAAGUUCUGUCCUAUGGGAAGAUAAUGACAGUACCAUAGAAGAAAGCUCCGGCUAAAUACGUGCCAGCAGCCGCGGUAAUACGUAUGGAGCGAGCGUUGUCCGGAAUUAUUGGGCGUAAAGGGUACGCAGGCGGUUUAAUAAGUCGAAUGUUAAAGAUCGGGGCUCAACCCCGUAAAGCAUUGGAAACUGAUAAACUUGAGUAGUGGAGAGGAAAGUGGAAUUCCUAGUGUAGUGGUGAAAUACGUAGAUAUUAGGAGGAAUACCAGUAGCGAAGGCGACUUUCUGGACACAAACUGACGCUGAGGUACGAAAGCGUGGGGAUCAAACAGG